Molecule: ribosomal RNA, 433 nt
Filed under: uncultured Pseudomonas sp.
Lineage: Bacteria; Pseudomonadati; Pseudomonadota; Gammaproteobacteria; Pseudomonadales; Pseudomonadaceae
Description: bacterial SSU rRNA
Rfam family: Bacterial small subunit ribosomal RNA
Source: RNAcentral
AAUUCGAAGCAACGCGAGAACUUACCAGGCCUUGACAUGCAGAGAACUUCAGAGAUGGAUUGGUGCCUUCGGGAACUCUGACACAGGUGCUGCAUGGCUGUCGUCAGCUCGGUGUCGUGAGAUGUUGGGUUAAGUCCCGUUAACGAGCGCAACCCUUGUCCUUAGUUACCAGCACGUUAUGGUGGGCACUCUAAGGAGACUGCCGGUGACAAACCGGAGGAAGGUGGGGAUGACGUCAAGUCAUCAUGGCCCUUACGGCCUGGGCUACACACGUGCUACAAUGGUCGGUACAAAGGGUUGCCAAGCCGCGAGGUGGAGCUAAUCCCAUAAAACCGAUCGUAGUCCGGAUCGCAGUCUGCAACUCGACUGCGUGAAGUCGGAAUCGCUAGUAAUCGUGAAUCAGAAUGUCACGGUGAAUACGUUCCCGGGCCUU